Molecule: ribosomal RNA, 496 nt
Filed under: uncultured bacterium
Lineage: Bacteria
Description: partial 16S ribosomal RNA
Rfam family: Bacterial small subunit ribosomal RNA
Source: RNAcentral
GAUGAACGCUGGCGGCGUGCCUAAUACAUGCAAGUCGAGCGAACAGACGAGGAGCUUGCUCCUCUGACGUUAGCGGCGGACGGGUGAGUAACACGUGGAUAACCUACCUAUAAGACUGGGAUAACUUCGGGAAACCGGAGCUAAUACCGGAUAAUAUAUUGAACCGCAUGGUUCAAUAGUGAAAGACGGUUUUGCUGUCACUUAUAGAUGGAUCCGCGCCGCAUUAGCUAGUUGGUAAGGUAACGGCUUACCAAGGCAACGAUGCGUAGCCGACCUGAGAGGGUGAUCGGCCACACGGGAACUGAGCAACGGUCCAGACUCCUACGGGAGGCAGAGGUAGGGAAUCUUCCGCAAUGGGCGAAAGCCUGACGGAGCAACGCCGCGUGAGUGAUGAAGGUCUUCGGAUCGUAAAACUCUGUUAUUAGGGAAGAACAAAUGUGUAAGUAACUAUGCACGUCUUGACGGUACCUAAGCAGAAAGCCACGGCUAACUACGU